CCCUUAGAUGUUCUGGGCUGCACGCGCGCUACACUGAUGCGUUCAACGAGUUUAUGACCUUGCCCGAUAGGGUUGGGUAAUCUUUUUAAAUCGCAUCGUGAUGGGGAUAGAUUAUUGCAAUUAUUAAUCUUCAACGAGGAAUUCCUAGUAAGCGCGAGUCAUCAGCUCGUGCUGAUUACGUCCCUGCCCUUUGUACACACCGCCCGUCGCUGCCCGGGACUGAGCCGUUUCGAGAAAAGCGGGGACUGCUGCUGUCGGGGCUUUCGGGCCUUGGCUUCGGUGGAAACCGCUUUAAUCGCAGUGGCUUGAACCGGGCAAAAGUCGUAACA
This 329-nucleotide ribosomal RNA is filed under the name uncultured eukaryote. Its description in RNAcentral is "partial 18S ribosomal RNA". It matches the Rfam family "Eukaryotic small subunit ribosomal RNA", at positions 1470 to 1796 of the family's 1831-position model. The record is from RNAcentral.